AUCUUAUAGGAUCGGCCCAUUUUGCAGCUAUGGCCUCUGAUAUCUUCCUCUUCUGAGAUUGGUACUUGAAGAGAGCUGAUGGGUCAGCGAUGGUUGGAGGUUCAAUGAAGCUUUUCAUGAUCAAAACUGGUUUAUCAAUGAUGCACUAUUGGCGUAUUGUGCUCAAGUUUGGACCAUCAAUUUCUCACGAAUUGGAUGCUACUAAGAUCACCAAACGAAGCAGAAUGAGAUUUCCAGAUUCCACACAAUCACCAAAUCAGUUCGUAUCACCGAUGUACUCCGGCGGCGACGCUGCCACAUACUGACCGCCAUUCUGGGCCGGCUCCGACCAGCACCAAAUGUAGCAGCAUCCCGACAAUCUUGGUUAAAUGUUCAGUUAGUGUAUCACAUCUUAUGCUUUGAUCUACGGAUGAUCAUUUAAUACAUAUUAUUGUUUUUUUAUUUUAUUGUAGUUUUAGGUGAGGCGGACGGCUUUAAAAUGACAAACGACUUAUUUUACCUAUGAGUUCUGUUGAAGAGUUGAUUUUAAUUUUAA
Salvia hispanica is the source of this 535-nucleotide long non-coding RNA. RefSeq lists it as uncharacterized. The record is from RefSeq and is a predicted model, not a curated record. NCBI's taxonomy places the organism in Eukaryota, Viridiplantae, Streptophyta, Magnoliopsida, Lamiales, Lamiaceae.